Molecule: ribosomal RNA, 258 nt
Filed under: Triticum aestivum (bread wheat)
Lineage: Eukaryota; Viridiplantae; Streptophyta; Magnoliopsida; Poales; Poaceae
Description: partial small subunit ribosomal RNA
Source: RNAcentral
AUGACCAGUAUAGGGAUUACUAAGGAGACUAACGAAAUAAGUAUAACAACAACUAACUCAUCUGCCAAUAUAUUUCCAAAAAAUCGAAAGCUAGGCGAUAAUGGUUUUGUGAAAUAUUCUAAGAUGUUAAUUGGUAAAAGGACUGGAGUUGGUUUAAUAUACUCCCUCCGUCCGGAAAUACCUGUCCCAAGAAUGGAUGUAUCUAGAUGUACUUUAGUUCCAAAUACAUUCAUUUAUAUCUAUUUUCAGGACAAGUAA